This 794-nucleotide ribosomal RNA is filed under the name Streptomyces sp. RNAcentral's name for it is "bacterial SSU rRNA". It matches the Rfam family "Bacterial small subunit ribosomal RNA", at positions 89 to 895 of the family's 1533-position model. The record is from RNAcentral. Lineage: Bacteria; Bacillati; Actinomycetota; Actinomycetes; Kitasatosporales; Streptomycetaceae.
GGAUUAGUGGCGAACGGGUGAGUAACACGUGGGCAAUCUGCCCUUCACUCUGGGACAAGCCCUGGAAACGGGGUCUAAUACCGGAUAACACUCUGUCCCGCAUGGGACGGGGUUAAAAGCUCCGGCGGUGAAGGAUGAGCCCGCGGCCUAUCAGCUUGUUGGUGGGGUAAUGGCCUACCAAGGCGACGACGGGUAGCCGGCCUGAGAGGGCGACCGGCCACACUGGGACUGAGACACGGCCCAGACUCCUACGGGAGGCAGCAGUGGGGAAUAUUGCACAAUGGGCGAAAGCCUGAUGCAGCGACGCCGCGUGAGGGAUGACGGCCUUCGGGUUGUAAACCUCUUUCAGCAGGGAAGAAGCGAAAGUGACGGUACCUGCAGAAGAAGCGCCGGCUAACUACGUGCCAGCAGCCGCGGUAAUACGUAGGGCGCAAGCGUUGUCCGGAAUUAUUGGGCGUAAAGAGCUCGUAGGCGGCUUGUCACGUCGGAUGUGAAAGCCCGGGGCUUAACCCCGGGUCUGCAUUCGAUACGGGCUAGCUAGAGUGUGGUAGGGGAGAUCGGAAUUCCUGGUGUAGCGGUGAAAUGCGCAGAUAUCAGGAGGAACACCGGUGGCGAAGGCGGAUCUCUGGGCCAUUACUGACGCUGAGGAGCGAAAGCGUGGGGAGCGAACAGGAUUAGAUACCCUGGUAGUCCACGCCGUAAACGUUGGGAACUAGGUGUUGGCGACAUUCCACGUCGUCGGUGCCGCAGCUAACGCAUUAAGUUCCCCGCCUGGGGAGUACGGCCGCAAGGCU